GAUGAACGCUGGCGGCGUGCCUAAUACAUGCAAGUCGAGCGAACAGACGAGGAGCUUGCUCCCCUGACGUUAGCGGCGGACGGGUGAGUAACACGUGGAUAACCUACCUAUAAGACUGGGAUAACUUCGGGAAACCGGAGCUAAUACCGGAUAAUAUAUUGAGCCGCAUGGUUCAAUAGUGAAAGACGGUUUUGCUGUCACUUAUAGAUGGAUCCGCGCCGCAUUAGCUAGUUGGUAAGGUAACGGCUUACCAAGGCAACGAUGCGUAGCCGACCUGAGAGGGUGAUCGGCCACACUGGAACUGAGACACGGUCCAGACUCCUACGGGAGGCAGCAGUAGGGAAUCUUCCGCAAUGGGCGAAAGCCUGACGGAGCAACGCCGCGUGAGUGAUGAAGGUCUUCGGAUCGUAAAACUCUGUUAUUAGGGAAGAACAAAUGUGUAAGUAACUAUGCACGUCUUGACGGUACCUAAUCAGAAAGCCACGGCUAACUACGUG
This 497-nucleotide ribosomal RNA is filed under the name uncultured bacterium. RNAcentral describes it as "partial 16S ribosomal RNA". It matches the Rfam family "Bacterial small subunit ribosomal RNA", at positions 28 to 507 of the family's 1533-position model. The record is from RNAcentral.